GACGGAGGAUGCAAGCGUUAUCCGGAACGAUUGGGCGUAAAGCGUCCGCAGGUGGCAGUUCAAGUCUGCUGUCAAAGACCGGGGCUUAACUUCGGAAAGGCAGUGGAAACUGAACAGCUAGAGUAUGGUAGGGGCAGAGGGAAUUCCUGGUGUAGCGGUGAAAUGCGUAGAGAUCAGGAAGAACAUCGGUGGCGAAGGCGGCUUUCUGUCUGUAACUGACGCUGAGGCGCGAAAGCGUGGGGAGCAAACAGG
This 252-nucleotide ribosomal RNA is filed under the name uncultured bacterium. RNAcentral's name for it is "partial 16S ribosomal RNA". It matches the Rfam family "Bacterial small subunit ribosomal RNA", at positions 524 to 776 of the family's 1533-position model. The record is from RNAcentral.